UACGGAGGGUGCAAGCGUUGUCCGGAUUUAUUGGGUUUAAAGGGUGCGUAGGCGGUUCUUUUAAGUCAGUGGUGAAAGCCUCCAGCUUAACUGGAGAAAUGCCAUUGAUACUGAAGAACUUGAGUACAGACGAGGUAGGCGGAAUUGACAGUGUAGCGGUGAAAUGCAUAGAUAUUGUCAAGAACACCGAUUGCGAAGGCAGCUUACUAGACUGUAACUGACGCUGAGGCACGAAAGUGCGGGGAUCAAACAGG
RNAcentral lists this ribosomal RNA (254 nucleotides) under uncultured bacterium. Its description in RNAcentral is "partial 16S ribosomal RNA". It matches the Rfam family "Bacterial small subunit ribosomal RNA", at positions 524 to 776 of the family's 1533-position model. The record is from RNAcentral.